GUUAAGGUGGCAGAGCCCGGUUACUGCAAAAGACCUAAGC
Molecule: transfer RNA, 40 nt
Filed under: Hyperoplus lanceolatus (great sand-eel)
Lineage: Eukaryota; Metazoa; Chordata; Actinopteri; Uranoscopiformes; Ammodytidae
Description: partial tRNA-Leu
Source: RNAcentral